Molecule: transfer RNA, 73 nt
Filed under: Muricoccus roseus
Lineage: Bacteria; Pseudomonadati; Pseudomonadota; Alphaproteobacteria; Acetobacterales; Roseomonadaceae
Also listed under: 3 other names
Description: Roseomonas rosea tRNA
Rfam family: tRNA
About the family: Transfer RNA (tRNA) molecules are approximately 80 nucleotides in length. Their secondary structure includes four short double-helical elements and three loops (D, anti-codon, and T loops).
Source: Rfam by way of RNAcentral
GGGGCUGUAGCUCAGUUGGGAGAGCGCGUCGUUCGCAAUGACGAGGCCAGGGGUUCGAUUCCCCUCAGCUCCA